GAAAACUGACACCGUUGAUGGGGAAGGAGCCGCUGCUGCUGGCCGGAGAAGGAGACCGUGGGUCUGAGGCGAUGGGAACAGCCCUGCCCGUUCCCUGGUCGGUGGAGAGGAGCUGGGUCCGUCGGCUGUGAGCAGAAGCUGCCGCUGCUGGAGGUCGGCUGAAGGAGAGGAGGCUGGGUCGGGUCUGUCGAGAAAAUGAGCGAAAAUAGAGAGGGGCUGUUCGGUUUCUGUGGAGGAGAAGGAAGGCUGCUGUGGUUGAUUUGUGAGGGAGGCGGCGCCGGAGAAGACGCUGGCAGUGGGAUCGUCCAGGGGGAUUGGAAGAAGCAAAAAAAAAUUCUUGAAAAG
RNAcentral lists this long non-coding RNA (345 nucleotides) under Populus tremula. RNAcentral describes it as "long non-coding RNA (PTRE_LNC001408)". The record is from RNAcentral. Lineage: Eukaryota; Viridiplantae; Streptophyta; Magnoliopsida; Malpighiales; Salicaceae.